CACGUAGGGUGCGAGCGUUGUCCGGAAUUAUUGGGCGUAAAGAGCUCGUAGGCGGUGUGUCGCGUCGGCCGUGAAAACCUGCAGCUUAACUGUGGGCUUGCGGUCGAUACGGGCAUCACUGGAGUUCGGCAGGGGAGACUGGAAUUCCCGGUGUAGCAGUGAAAUGCGUAGAUAUCGGGAGGAAUACCGAUGGCGAAGGCAGGUCUCUGGGCUGACACUGACGCUCAUGCACGAAAUCGUGGGGAGCAAACAGG
This 254-nucleotide ribosomal RNA is filed under the name uncultured bacterium. Its description in RNAcentral is "partial 16S ribosomal RNA". It matches the Rfam family "Bacterial small subunit ribosomal RNA", at positions 524 to 776 of the family's 1533-position model. The record is from RNAcentral.